Molecule: ribosomal RNA, 206 nt
Filed under: uncultured bacterium
Lineage: Bacteria
Description: partial 16S ribosomal RNA
Rfam family: Bacterial small subunit ribosomal RNA
Source: RNAcentral
CUCGUAGGCGGUUCGGCAAGUCGACGGUGAAAUCUCCACGCUCAACGUGGAGGGGUCCGUCGAUACUGCCGUGACUCGAGUCCGGUAGGGGAGUGUGGAAUUCCCGGUGUAGCGGUGAAAUGCGCAGAGAUCGGGAGGAACACCCGUAGCGAAGGCGGCACUCUGGGCCGGUACUGACGCUGAGGAGCGAAAGCGUGGGGAGAAAC